RNAcentral lists this non-coding RNA (71 nucleotides) under marine sediment metagenome. RNAcentral's name for it is "c-di-GMP-I riboswitch aptamer". It matches the Rfam family "c-di-GMP-I riboswitch aptamer". From Rfam's summary of the family: GEMM was predicted in a large-scale screen for bacterial structured RNA regulatory elements. Genes associated with GEMM are involved in a diverse array of functions, including chemotaxis regulation, signal transduction, secretion and chitin. The record is from RNAcentral. RNAcentral also lists the same sequence under 1 other name.
GAAAAGGCAAACCCGUCGCGAGGCGGGGGCGCAAAGCCGACGGACCUCUCCGAGGUGGCCGGGCUGCCGAA